Molecule: ribosomal RNA, 678 nt
Filed under: uncultured Actinomycetes bacterium
Lineage: Bacteria; Bacillati; Actinomycetota; Actinomycetes
Description: SSU rRNA
Rfam family: Bacterial small subunit ribosomal RNA
Source: RNAcentral
CUUGUUGGUGAGGUAACGGCUCACCAAGGCUCCGAUCCGUAGCUGGUCUGAGAGGACGAUCAGCCACACUGGGACUGAGACACGGCCCAGACUCCUACGGGAGGCAGCAGUGGGGAAUCUUGCGCAAUGGGCGAAAGCCUGACGCAGCGACGCCGCGUGAGGGAAGAAGGCCUUCCGGUUGUAAACCUCUUUCAGGAGGGACGAAGCCACUCGGGUUAAUAGCCCAGAGGGUGACGGUACCUCCAGAAGAAGCCCCGGCUAACUACGUGCCAGCAGCCGCGGUAAUACGUAGGGGGCUAGCGUUGUCCGGAUUUAUUGGGCGUAAAGAGCGUGUAGGCGGCCAGGUAGGUCUGCUGUGAAAACUCGAGGCUCAACCUCGAGACGUCGGCGGAAACCAUCUGGCUAGAGUCCGGAAGAGGAGAGUGGAAUUCCUGGUGUAGCGGUGAAAUGCGCAGAUAUCAGGAAGAACACCCGUGGCGAAGGCGGCUCUCUGGGACGGUACUGACGCUGAGACGCGAAAGCGUGGGGAGCGAACAGGAUUAGAUACCCUGGUAGUCCACGCCGUAAACGAUGGGUGCUAGGUGUGGGCGGUGUCGACUCCGUCCGUGCCGAAGCUAACGCAUUAAGCACCCCGCCUGGGGAGUACGGCCGCAAGGCUAAAACUCAAAGGAAUUGACG